AGUUUGAUCCUGGCUCAGGAUGAACGCUGGCGGCGUGCCUAACGCAUUCAAGUCAAACGGACUUAAGGAAGCUUGCUUCCUUAAAUUAGUGGCGGACGGGUGAGUAACGCAUGAGUAACCUGCCAAUACCAGUGGAAUAACACAGGGAAACUUGUGCUACUACCGCAUAAAAUGUAUUAUUCGCAUGUGUGAUACAUCAAAGACAAUCUCGUAUAGAUGGACUCUCGUCUGAUUAGAUAGUUGGUGAGGUAACGGCUCACCAAGUCUACGAUCAGUAGCCGAACAGAGAGGUUGAACCGCCACAUUGGAACUGACAAACCGUCCAAACUCCUACGGGAAGCACCACUGGGGAAUAUUGGGCAAUGACGAAAGUCUGACCCAACGACUCCCCGUGAGGGAAGAAGGUCUACGGAUUGAAAACCUCUGGUGAUACGGAAGAAUAAAGUGACGGUACCUAUCUAGGAAGCCACGGCUAACUACCUGCCAGCAGCGGCGGUAAUAGGUAGGUGGCAAGCGUUAUCCGGAAUUAGUGGGUGUAAAGGGUGGGUAGGCGGGACAGCAAGUCAGAUAAUAAAUCUAUGGGCUCAACCCAUAGCAGGCAUUUGAAACAGUUGUUAUUGAGUCUGGGAGAGGUAAAAGGAAUUCCCAGUGGAGGGGAGAAACGGGUAUAUAGAGGGACGAACACCAGGGGGGAAGGUGUUUUGGUGGUAGACAACGGACGGGGAGACAAGCAAGCGUGGGGAGCAAACAGGAUUAGAUACCCUGGUAGUCCACGCUGUAAACGAUGAAUGCUAGGUGUAGGGCCGGAAGGUUCUGCGCCGCAGUUUACACAAUAAGCAUUCCACCUGGGGAGUACGGCCGCAAGGUUGAAACUCAAAGGAAUUGACGGGGGCCCGCACAAGCAGUGGAUUAUGUGGUUUAAUUCGACGCAACGCGAAGAACCUUACCAGGACUUGUCAUCCAACUAUCGUAGCAGAGAUGCAUUAGGUGCCCUUCGGGGAAAGUUGAGACAGAUGGUGCAUGGUUGUCGUCAGCUCGUGUAGUGAGAUGUUGGUUUAAGUCCCGCAACGAGCGCUACCCCUAUUGUUAGUUGUUACGCUAGUGCACUCUAGCGAGACUUCCGCCGACAAAACGGAGGAAGGCGGGGAGGACGUCAAAUCAUCAUGCCCCUUAUGUCCUGGGCUACACACGUAAUACAAUGGCCGUCAACAAAGGGAAGCAUAGCCGCGAGGUGGAGCAAUCCCCCAAAAAUGGUCUCAGUUUGGAUCGCAGGUUGCACCUUGCCUGCACGAAGAUGGAACUGCUAGUAAUCGCGGAUCAGCAUGCCGCGGUGAAUAAGUUCCCGGCCCUUGCACUCACAACCCGUCA
This 1368-nucleotide ribosomal RNA is filed under the name uncultured bacterium. RNAcentral's name for it is "16S ribosomal RNA". It matches the Rfam family "Bacterial small subunit ribosomal RNA". The record is from RNAcentral.